UACGGAGGAUGCGGGCGUUAUCCGGAUUUAUUAGGUCUAAAGGGUGCGCAGGCGGCUUCUUAAGUCGGCGGUGAAAACCCGUGGCCCAACCACGGACGUGCCAUCGAUACUGAGGGGCUUGAGUAUGGGUGACGGAAGCGGAAUGAGUGGUGUAGCGGUGAAAUGCUUAGAUAUCACUCAGAACACCGAUUGCGAAGGCAGCUUCCGAACCCUUGACUGACGCUCAUGCACGAAAGCGCGGGUAGCGAAC
RNAcentral lists this ribosomal RNA (250 nucleotides) under uncultured prokaryote. RNAcentral's name for it is "partial 16S ribosomal RNA". It matches the Rfam family "Bacterial small subunit ribosomal RNA", at positions 524 to 773 of the family's 1533-position model. The record is from RNAcentral.